GACGAACGCUGGCGGCGUGCUUAACACAUGCAAGUCGAACGGAAAGGCCCUGCUUUUGUGGGGUGCUCGAGUGGCGAACGGGUGAGUAACACGUGAGUAACCUGCCCUUGACUUUGGGAUAACUUCAGGAAACUGGGGCUAAUACCGGAUAGGAGCUCCUGCUGCAUGGUGGGGGUUGGAAAGUUUCGGCGGUUGGGGAUGGACUCGCGGCUUAUCAGCUUGUUGGUGGGGUAGUGGCUUACCAAGGCUUUGACAGGUAGCCGGCCUGAGAGGGUGACCGGCCACAUUGGGACUGAGAUACGGCCCAGACUCCUACGGGAGGCAGCAGUGGGGAAUAUUGCACAAUGGGCGGAAGCCUGAUGCAGCAACGCCGCGUGCGGGAUGACGGUCUUCGGGUUGUAAACCGCUUUCGCCUGUGACGAAGCGUGAGUGACGGUAAUGGGUAAAGAAGCACCGGCUAACUACGUG
This 468-nucleotide ribosomal RNA is filed under the name uncultured bacterium. Its description in RNAcentral is "partial 16S ribosomal RNA". It matches the Rfam family "Bacterial small subunit ribosomal RNA", at positions 28 to 507 of the family's 1533-position model. The record is from RNAcentral.